RNAcentral lists this long non-coding RNA (4793 nucleotides) under Sus scrofa (pig). RNAcentral's name for it is "lncRNA (ENSSSCG00065049570.1)". Lineage: Eukaryota; Metazoa; Chordata; Mammalia; Artiodactyla; Suidae. The record is from RNAcentral.
UGUGCCACAGCCACAGCAAUGUGGGAUCUGAGCCACAUCUGUGACCUACACUGUAGCUCAUGGAAACAUUAGGUCCUUAACCCACAGAGCGAGGCCAGGGACUGAACCUGAAUCCUCAUGGAUACUGGUCAGGUUUGUUUCUCCUGAGCCACAACGAGAACUCCGAGGGUGACCUUUCAAACGGAAUGUGCUAGCACUUGGUCAAGUGUUUUUCAGAUAGUGAGUAUCCACGAUAUAUUUCUGGAAUCAGGAAGAGUAGCGAAGUUUCGUCAGUGUCUUUCAUCCAGGGGAUUUUAUCCCCUUUUGCCUGGAGUCCUGCUGUUCCUAUAACUGCACCUCUCCCUCCUGGGCCAUGCCAUAAUUUUUACAUGUCACAUUUUUGCCCAGAAUUCUUCAGUCACUUUCUUCUUCUUUUUUAAAUUUUUUCAUUUUCAUUUAUUUAUUUUUGCUUUUUAGGGCUGCACCUGUGGCAUAUGGAGGCUCCCAGGCUAGGGGUCAAAUCGGAGCUACAGCUGCUGGCCUAUGCCACAGCCUCAGCAACGUGGGAUCCGAGCCAUAUCUGCAACCUACACCACAGCUCAUGGCAACGCCAGAUCCUUAACCCACUGAGCAAGGCCGGGGAUCAAACCCGCAACCUAAUGGUUCCUAGUUGGAUUCGUUUCCGCUGAGCCACAAUGGGAACUCCUCUUCUUUUUUUUUUAAAUCACAGAAUAAAGUCCAAUUUCUAACAUGGCAUUUAUGUAUAGAGUGGGGAGCCACCUUUUUCCCAUCUGGAAUAGGAGGAUAGUAGUGCCAAUUUCAUAGACGCAUUGAGAAGAUUAAGUGAAUAUUGUCUUUUUCCACAAGUCUUUCCAGGCUGGCUUGCUAUGUUUCUCUCAGCAUGUCUUACUUCUUCUCAUGGCUACAUAUUUGUUUUGCCUAGGACUCUAGCCUUGGAAAUGCCUGACCAUCACCUCCCAUUUUUCAGUCCUAAAAAUUCCUUUGGGCCCUGCCAGGCUACCAAUACUCAUUCUUAUCUCUAAGAACAUCUUUAUUCUGUUCUAUACAGAGUCUCAUAGUAGACAAUAUAGCCAGUUUCCUACCCAAAUGUUAAAACCAUGCAUACAUUGCCUUCCUGGUGGCCAUAUUGCUUCCACAUGAAUAAUUUCAGUGUUGAUGAGCUAAACUUGGGCCGCUCAUCCCAUUUUUUUUCAGCAAGUCUAAUUAAAUAACUGCAACAUGUAAUUAUCUUUUUAGUCAUGACAGUCUUGCCUUUUUAAAAUUUUCAGUUCUUCCAGAGGAACAAAGUAACUGCUGGAAAGGCACUGAUUGUAUUUAGGUCUAAAAUUAUAAUUUCACGACAUUGGUAGUUAAACCAUUGCUACUACUUUUCUUUUCUUCCUUUACUGUUCCUUCGGGGAGAGGACUUAGCACUACAGGGCUUGUGAUUAUUAUGACAAUGACUAGAACAGAAAGAAGGCAAAGAAAACCCUCUUGGUUGAUGUCUACUGAUACUUGAACCAACUUUACUUAGACGACUUUAUACUUAAACAGUAUUUGAAUCUUUGAAAAAAAUUUGUUGCAAAACUUUUACUUGUUCUAUCCCUUUUGGUGAAUUCUUCUAGUCUUUUUAAUAUUUAUAUACAAAUAUAUCCAUAUAUAUAUAUUUGCUUUAGUUUUUAUAAAAAUUGGGGCUACACUCUAUAUGCUGCUUUGUAUUUCCUUUUUAAAAGACUGAAAAAUGUGCAAAUGACACUUUUUCAUGUCAGUAUAUAAAGACUUAAUUUUUAAUGGCUCCGUGUGGUGGCACAACUGACCUAUAUUUUUUUCUUAUUGAUCAACACAUGUUAUUUCCAGUUGAUUCUUGAAUUUGGAUUUCUUUACCAUAAAAGAUAUUAAAAAGGUAAACGACCACUACACUCCUAUUCAAAAAUUCACCCAGGGUUAAGAGUUAACUUCUGUCACCACAAAGUUUAUGCUGUGGAAUGCCAAAGAUUGUCAGAAACUCACCAGAAGCGAGAAGACAGGCCUAGAACAGAUUCUCUCUCUGCCCUCAGAAGGAACCUGUCUUGCCAAUACCAGACCUUGGACUUUCAGCCUCCAGGUCUGUGAUUCAAUAACCUUCUAUUGUUUAAGCCACUCAGUUUGUGGUGUUUUGUUAAGCAGUCCUAGAAAAUGAAUAUAUUCAGUUUAAAAAAAAAAAAAGGUUGUUUAGUGUUUAAGAUAAAGAAUAUUGGGGUGACAGUUCAUGAUUUUGAGUGAAGGCCUAUCUAGGGUGACUGUGUUGUGUCAUAGUGUCUAUCCAGUGAUAUGCUGUAAGACAGUAACUGUGAUACAGCACAAGGCUUCUGGGAAGUGGCUCAAACUAUAAAAAAAGAAUGUGUUGGAUGUUAGGGCAGAGACCAAGUUACUGACCAGAGAUCGGGAAUGGUGAAAAGGAAAGAAUUAUUGAGAGCUUUCCAUAGACAAGGGUGUGGUAACCUAGGCUAUGUGUUCUGGCUUUUAAUCAAAUUGGGUAAUGCAAACAAGUAAAUAAUAAUGAAUUAUCUCUAGAGAAUGUAGCCUUCCUCUACCUCCAUUAAUAUCUCCUUCAAGGAUCUAAAUCUGAGAUUUUUAGCAGCAUAUGAUAGAUGACCUGAUUUUCUGGGAAAUCUAGGGGCACAUGAUUGAAUACUGUAUGUGUUACAUCAAUGUGCAUAUUUAUGAACAUAAAUUGCUUGCAGAAAGUUAUACCAGCCAUUCUGUUUUCAAGAUAUUGGCUAGACAGAGACAGUAGAAAAGGUAAAGAUAAAGGUUCUCCUUGGAACAAAGCCUCAUUCUCAAAACCGGGGUCCAUGCUGGGGAUGCAGACUGAGAAGCUGGGCCUGCCUGGAAGUUCUAAUCAGGAUGAAGCACUGUAACAUUUAGACACAUCAAACGAAUGUUCCCCUUACCUUUAAAAUUUGUGACUCACCGUAUUAUACUCCUAUAACAUACAAUAUUGUACAGCAACUACACUUCAAUAAAAACAAAGAAAUUAAUGUCCCCCUUAUGUAGAAUUUCCUCCUCCUCUACUUAAAACUUCCUUGUUCUUCAGGGCACAUUCUGGAAUAGUCUCCUCCAUAGAGCCUUCCUUGCCCUGAGCCCCAGAGCUCUGUCAUGUCUCUGAACCAGUACACUUUUAUUUUUCAUGCUUUAUUUCCUAGGCAACUAAAUGGUAAUUACAAGACUGUGUGAUCACAUUUUACUACAGUUAGAUUUAAAACUCCACAGUGGUAGAGACUUUGCCUGCUUUAUUCACCUUGGCACACCACUGGGCACGUAGUAGGUGCUCGACAAAUUUUUUUUUUGGAUAAAGGGUUGCACAUAUAUGUAUAUUGCAACUUCUCUUCCCACUGUUAUUUGAGGUUAAAUUAUUUUUGCUGGAAAACAACUCCCCUUCUCUGCUGGCUAGAUAUGACCCAUAAACCACAGUUGCAGCCUCUGCUCUACAAGUAAUUUAUAGAACCCACAGUAAUUAUCUCUCUAUACCCCAACAGUUCUUGGCAUGAGAAUGGUAGAGAUCAGAUGGUGGCAAAUAAAUGCACAAGAACACCCAAGUCAUGUUUUGAACUACUGAGGUUUUUUCUUUUUUAUUGCAAAACAUUUGUUACAGAAAUUUCAGAAAGUUUUUCCCGUGGUAUCUGCCAACUUCUGCUUCGAAUUAUAUAUCUAAACGAACAAGCUCAAAGUGCAUUGUGAAUCCAAUAACAGACCUUUAAAAAAGAACAAUUCCUCUAAGGAUUUAUAUAUAUUUAUAAUGCUGAUAGAUAUGUAAACCGCUGUCUAUCUAUACACAAAGAAGGAAAAGAUGUGUAUACCUUUAAGAAACCCAAUUGCAAAAUUGUUUUAUUUAUAGGAAUUUGUUCAAAAAUGAUAUUUGAAUAAUCUUCCCCAUUAUAAACUAUGGUUAGAAUGUGUACAAAUGAGAAUCUAAGAUAUGUAUUAUGAAAUGGCUAUGAGUACAGUAUACUGCAUGUACUGUUUUGCACAGCAAGAGCAGCAAUAUAAACUCAGGUCAGACACUGUAGUGACAGGAAGCAGAUAAGCCUUGAUACUAUGCUAUGUUACUCUUCUUCUGAAUCUCCCUCAGAAAGACCCUACAUGUGGGUCCAGAAUGAUGCAGCUAGCAAACAUACACACACAUAUCAUUUGGGAGAAGAGAAAUAACCCUGAAUAGGGUGAGUUCCUUUCCCUCCCACCUCAAUUUUCAGUGUAUUUUGUGUAUACACUCCCUAAGUUGGAAUCAAGAAUAUGAUCCUGGUAGGCUCUGAUUCAGAGGUCCCAAACUAUUGCUUUGGGACUGAAAGCUGCUGGCAGACACAUUUGCUUGGCUAUCACAAUGUUUGCAAAUCUGAAUGUGAAUGUCUUUGUAGUAGGACAUGUGUUCUCUCCUGUCCUACAAACCCUACUUCCUCCUGUGGUCUUUUACCAGUCCAGUAGACACAUUUGUUUCUGGAUCCAGGUCCUCCACCUAUUUGAGUAUGCAACCCCAUGAUCUAGAUGCAGAUGGCCAGUGGUGAUACGUGGGGAGUUGGGGUGAAGAUAUGAGGGACUCUUUUCUUUUGGGAUUCAGACAGGCAAAGAAUGAUGAAACUGAUGCCAGCACCAGGCAAGUUAGGAGCAUGGGGCAGAGUUGAGAGGACAAAGCUAAAUUAGUGGGGAAAAUGAGGGAUGGACAGUCUGAAUGUCUGUAGCCACUGUCUUGGCUUACUGUGCCAGAGCCCAUAGGGGAUUGAGGUGAUGUGAGCAUGAGUCAAUUGGUCUGGCAAAAAAAAAAAAAAAAAAAAAAAAAA